GUAGGUGGCAAGCGUUGUCCGGAAUUAUUGGGCGUAAAGCGCGCGCAGGUGGUUCUUUAAGUCUGAUGUGAAAGCCCCCGGCUCAACCGGGGAGGGUCAUUGGAAACUGGGGAACUUGAGUGCAGGAGAGGAAAGUGGAAUUCCACGUGAAGCGGUGAAAUGCGUAGAUAUGUGGAGGAACACCAGUGGCGAAGGCGACUUUCUGGCCUGUAACUGACACUGAGGCGCGAAAGCGUGGGGAGCAAACAGGGAUUAGAUACCCUGGUAGUCCACGCCGUAAACGAUGAGUGCUAAGUGUUGGGGGGGUUUCCCGCCCCUCAGUGCUGCAGCUAACGCAUUAAGCACUCCGCCUGGGGAGUACGGUCGCAAGACUG
This 374-nucleotide ribosomal RNA is filed under the name uncultured organism. RNAcentral describes it as "partial 16S ribosomal RNA". It matches the Rfam family "Bacterial small subunit ribosomal RNA", at positions 527 to 896 of the family's 1533-position model. The record is from RNAcentral.